UACGAAGGGUGCAAGCGUUACUCGGAAUUACUGGGCGUAAAGCGUGCGUAGGUGGUUUGUUAAGUCUGUUGUGAAAGCCCCGGGCUCAACCUGGGAAUGGCAAUGGAUACUGGCAGGCUAGAGUGCGGUAGAGGGUAGUGGAAUUCCCGGUGUAGCGGUGAAAUGCGUAGAUAUCGGGAGGAACAUCAGUGGCGAAGGCGGCUGCCUGGCCCAAUACUGACACUCAGGUGCGACAGCGUGGGGAGCAAACAGG
This 253-nucleotide ribosomal RNA is filed under the name uncultured bacterium. Its description in RNAcentral is "partial 16S ribosomal RNA". It matches the Rfam family "Bacterial small subunit ribosomal RNA", at positions 524 to 776 of the family's 1533-position model. The record is from RNAcentral.